UCUAGCGUGUAAGCAAGUCAAUAGGUGUUAAACCUAAAGGCGGAAUGAAAGUGUAAAAGUUUGAUAUAAACUUUUUGUUGGAGGAUAGGGGUUGUCCAUAUUUUGAACAAUACCCUCGCACUCCUAGGGCGUUUCGUUCUCAUUUUGAGUUGAGGCGCACCAGGAGCUUACACGCUGGUACCCGAAAGAUGGUGAACUAUGCCUGGUCAGGACGAAGCCAGGGGAAACCCUGGUGGAGGUCCGAAGCGAUUCUGACGUGCAAAUCGAUCGUCUGAGCUGGGUAUAGGGGCGAAAGACCAA
Molecule: ribosomal RNA, 300 nt
Filed under: Mezira sayi
Lineage: Eukaryota; Metazoa; Arthropoda; Insecta; Hemiptera; Aradidae
Description: eukaryotic LSU rRNA
Rfam family: Eukaryotic large subunit ribosomal RNA
Source: RNAcentral